This 68-nucleotide transfer RNA is filed under the name Bacteriophage sp. RNAcentral describes it as "tRNA-OTHER". It matches the Rfam family "tRNA". From Rfam's summary of the family: Transfer RNA (tRNA) molecules are approximately 80 nucleotides in length. The record is from RNAcentral.
UGGGCUAUCGCCAAAUGGUAAGGCAACGGAUUCUCCGUUAUUUGUGGGUUCGAAUCCCACUAGCCCCG